This is a non-coding RNA of Podarcis lilfordi (Lilford's wall lizard), 70 nucleotides long. The record is from the annotation of a GenBank genome assembly. NCBI's taxonomy places the organism in Eukaryota, Metazoa, Chordata, Lepidosauria, Squamata, Lacertidae.
AUUCAUAGCUCAGAGGCAGAGCAUCUGACCUGCAUGCAGAAAGUCCCAGGUUCAGUUCCUGGCAUGUCCA